RNAcentral lists this ribosomal RNA (497 nucleotides) under uncultured bacterium. Its description in RNAcentral is "partial 16S ribosomal RNA". It matches the Rfam family "Bacterial small subunit ribosomal RNA", at positions 28 to 507 of the family's 1533-position model. The record is from RNAcentral.
GAUGAACGCUGGCGGCGUGCCUAAUACAUGCAAGUCGAACGAACGGACGAGAAGCUUUCUUCUCUGAUGUUAGCGGCGGACGGGUGAGUAACACGUGGAUAACCUACCUAUAAGACUGGGAUAACUUCGGGAAACCGGAGCUACUACCGGAUAAUAUUUUGCACCGCAUGGUUCAACAGUGAAAGACGGUCUUGCUGUCACUUAUAGAUGGAUCCGCGCUGCAUUAGCUAGUUGGUAAGGUAACGGCUUACCCAGGCAACGAUGCAUAACCGACCUGAGCGGGAGAUCGGCCACACGGGAACUGAGACACGGUCCAGACUCCGACGGGAGGCAGCAGUAGGGAAUCUUCCGCAAUGGGCGAAAGCCUGACGGAGCAACGCCGCGUGAGUGAUGAAGGUGUUCGGAUCGUAAAGCGAUGUUAUUAGGGAAGAAGAUAUGUGUAAGUAACUGUGCACAUCUUGACGGUACCGAAACAGAAAGCCACGGCUAACUACGUG